UUACGGUCAUAUGACGUUGAAAACCCGAUUCUUUAAUGAUCACCGAGGUUAAGCAACGUCGAGCCUGUUCAGUACUUAGAUAGGUGACCACUUAGAAAUACCAGUUGCUGUA
Molecule: non-coding RNA, 112 nt
Organism: Acanthosepion pharaonis
Lineage: Eukaryota; Metazoa; Mollusca; Cephalopoda; Sepiida; Sepiidae
Source: the annotation of a GenBank genome assembly